Molecule: ribosomal RNA, 616 nt
Filed under: Ochthebius grandipennis
Lineage: Eukaryota; Metazoa; Arthropoda; Insecta; Coleoptera; Hydraenidae
Description: partial 16S ribosomal RNA
Rfam family: Bacterial large subunit ribosomal RNA
Source: RNAcentral
GUCUUUUUGAUUAUAAUUUAAAGUCUAACCUGCCCAAUGAAAAUUUAAAUGGCCGCGGUAUUUUGACCGUGCAAAGGUAGCAUAAUCAUUAGUUUUUUAAUUGAAAGCUGGUAUGAAUGGUUGGACGAGAAAAUUACUGUCUCAAUUUAAUUUAAUUAGAAUUUUAUUUUUAAGUUAAAAAGCUUAAAUUUAUUUAAAAGACGAGAAGACCCUAUAGAGUUUAAUAUUAAAAUUAAUAUAUAUAUUUAUAAUUAUUAAAAUUAAUUUUUAUAUUUUAUUGGGGUGAUAAAUAAAUUUAAUAAACUUUAUUUUUUUAUUAACAUAAAUUUAUGAUUUAAUGAUCCAUUAUUAAUGAUUAUAAGAUUAAAUUACCUUAGGGAUAACAGCGUUAUCUUUUUAGAGAGUUCAAAUCGAAAAAAAGGAUUGCGACCUCGAUGUUGGAUUAAAAUUAAUUUUUGGUGUAGAAGCUAAAAAUAUUGAGUCUGUUCGACUUUUAAAAUUUUACAUGAUCUGAGUUUAAACCGGCGUGAGCCAGGUUGGUUUCUAUCUUUAAAAAUUUAAAAUAUUUUAGUACGAAAGGACCAAAUAUUUAUAAAAUUUAUUAAUAUUUGAAUAU